AUGAACGCUGGCGGCGUGCCUAAUACAUGCCAGUCGCGCGAACAGGCGAGGAGCUUGCUCCUCUGACGUUAGCGGCGGACGGGUGAGUAACACGUGGAUAACCUACCUAUAAGACUGGGAUAACUUCGGGAAACCGGAGCUAAUACCGGAUAAUAUAUUGAACCGCAUGGUUCAAUAGUGAAAGACGGUUUUGCUGUCACUUAUAGAUGGAUCCGCGCCGCAUUAGCUAGUUGGUAAGGUAACGGCUUACCAAGGCAACGAUGCGUAGCCGACCUGAGAGGGUGAUCGGCCACACUGGAACUGAGACACGGUCCAGACUCCUACGGGAGGCAGCAGUAGGGAAUCUUCCGCAAUGGGCGAAAGCCUGACGGAGCAACGCCGCGUGAGUGACGAAGGUCUUCGGAUCGUAAAACUCUGUUAUUAGGGAAGAACAAAUGUGUAAGUAACUAUGCACGUCUUGACGGUACCUAAUCAGAAAGCCACGGCUAACUACGUG
This 496-nucleotide ribosomal RNA is filed under the name uncultured bacterium. RNAcentral describes it as "partial 16S ribosomal RNA". It matches the Rfam family "Bacterial small subunit ribosomal RNA", at positions 29 to 507 of the family's 1533-position model. The record is from RNAcentral.